This 432-nucleotide ribosomal RNA is filed under the name uncultured bacterium. RNAcentral's name for it is "partial 16S ribosomal RNA". It matches the Rfam family "Bacterial small subunit ribosomal RNA", at positions 338 to 795 of the family's 1533-position model. The record is from RNAcentral.
CCUACGGGUGGCAGCAGUCGAGAAUUUUUCUCAAUGGGGGAAACCCUGAAGGAGCGACGCCGCGUGGAGGAUGAAGGUCUUCGGAUUGUAAACUCCUGUCAUUUGGGAACUAGUACCAGAAGAGGAAGAGACGGCUAACUCUGUGCCAGCAGCCGCGGUAAUACAGAGGUCUCAAGCGUUGUUCGGAUUCAUUGGGCGUAAAGGGUGCGUAGGUGGCGGGGUAAGUCAGGUGUGAAAUCUCGAGGCUCAACCUCGAAACUGCACUUGAUACUGCCUUGCUCGAGUACUGGAGAGGAGAUUGGAAUUUACGGUGUAGCAGUGAAAUGCGUAGAUAUCGUAAGGAAGACCAGUGGCGAAGGCGAAUCUCUGGACAGUACUGACACUGAGGCACGAAGGCCAGGGGAGCAAACGGGAUUAGAUACCCUUGUAGUC